RNAcentral lists this ribosomal RNA (512 nucleotides) under uncultured bacterium. Its description in RNAcentral is "bacterial SSU rRNA". It matches the Rfam family "Bacterial small subunit ribosomal RNA", at positions 15 to 518 of the family's 1533-position model. The record is from RNAcentral.
GAUUCUGGCUCAGGAUGAACGCUAGCGACAGGCUUAACACAUGCAAGUCGAGGGGCAGCAUAAAAGUAGCAAUACUUUGGUGGCGACCGGCGCACGGGUGAGUAACGCGUAUGCAACCUACCUAUCAGAGGGGAAUAACCCGGCGAAAGUCGGACUAAUACCGCAUAAAACAGGGACACCGCAUGGUGAUAUUUGUUAAAGAAAUUCGCUGAUAGAUGGGCAUGCGUUCCAUUAGGUAGUUGGUGAGGUAACGGCUCACCAAGCCGACGAUGGAUAGGGGAACUGAGAGGUUGGUCCCCCACACUGGUACUGAGACACGGACCAGACUCCUACGGGAGGCAGCAGUGAGGAAUAUUGGUCAAUGGGCGAGAGCCUGAACCAGCCAAGUCGCGUGAAAGGAAGAAGGAUCUAUGGUUCGUAAACUUCUUUUGCAGGGGAAUAAAGUGCAGGACGUGUCCUGUUUUGUAUGUACCCUGAGAAUAAGGAUCGGCUAACUCCGUGCCAGCAGCGGC